UAAAAAGGAGAUGCAGGAACAACAGUUUGAACCACCUGGGUAUAAAAUCCAUUUGUUUUUACUGAGGCAGUGUAGGGUGCCAGAUCUUCAGAUUUACAUCUUACAGCAAUAUGAGUCUUAAUUCAGUUGGGAGAGGCUCUUAAUCUCAAAUUUCAGAAGUGUCAUCAGCAUAAACAAGAUCAGGAUCAGCCCAUAAUAGCAAUUUGCCAACCGGCAAACCUCCUCAGCAUAAACACCGGGGAGCCCCCGCUGGGUCCUGGAAAUCCCGCUUGUCUGCAAGUGCACAAUAUACAAGGCAAAUCUCCAUAAAGCUCAGUGCCACAGUUGAAUACAAACACUCCUAAGGUCCUGCUGUGACUUGGCAUACCCCGCUGGACAGCUGGAAACUGAGAGGAAAGGAGCUGCUGCCAAUAACGGGUUACAGGGGAUUGUUGGUGCAAAGUUUCCUGGAAACAGGCAGUGACUGACGUUAUUAUUUUGUUGGAGGAUACUGAUGUGAAAUAUAAGAUAUAUGCAAUGAUACACAAUUGCAUUUGAUAAAUAUCUGACAGGAUAUACAGUAAAACAGCACCUUUUUUAUAUGAUCCCUGUGCUUUGGCUAGGAAUUAAACCCUGAGA
Molecule: long non-coding RNA, 618 nt
Organism: Vidua chalybeata
Lineage: Eukaryota; Metazoa; Chordata; Aves; Passeriformes; Viduidae
Exons: 3
Source: RefSeq, a predicted model, not a curated record